Molecule: ribosomal RNA, 429 nt
Filed under: Gemmatimonadota bacterium
Lineage: Bacteria; Pseudomonadati; Gemmatimonadota
Description: Gemmatimonadetes bacterium partial 16S ribosomal RNA
Rfam family: Bacterial small subunit ribosomal RNA
Source: RNAcentral
UAGGGAAUCUUCGGCAAUGGACGAAAGUCUGACCGAGCAACGCCGCGUGAGUGAAGAAGGUUUUCGGAUCGUAAAACUCUGUUGUUAGAGACGAACAAGGACGUUAGUAACUGAACGUCCCCUGACGGUAUCUAACCAGAAAGCCACGGCUAACUACGUGCCAGCAGCCGCGGUAAUACGUAGGUGGCAAGCGUUGUCCGGAUUUAUUGGGCGUAAAGCGAGCGCAGGCGGUUUCUUAAGUCUGAUGUGAAAGCCCCCGGCUCAACCGGGGAGGGUCAUUGGAAACUGGGAGACUUGAGUGCAGAAGAGGAGGGUGGAAUUCCAUGUGUGGCGGUGAAAUGCGUAGAUAUAUGGAGGAACACCAGUGGCGAAGGCGGCUCUCUGGACUGUAACUGACGCUGAGGCUCGAAAGCGUGGGGAGCAAACAGG